RNAcentral lists this unclassified non-coding RNA (326 nucleotides) under soil metagenome. RNAcentral describes it as "partial contains 5.8S ribosomal RNA, internal transcribed spacer 2, and large subunit ribosomal RNA". The stretch from base 1 to 117 matches the Rfam family "5.8S ribosomal RNA", at positions 38 to 154 of the family's 154-position model. The record is from RNAcentral.
GAUGAACGUAGCGAAAUGCGAUAAGUAAUGUGAAUUGCAGAAUUCAGUGAAUCAUCGAAUCUUUGAACGCACAUUGCGCCCCUUGGUAUUCCGAGGGGCAUGCCUGUUCGAGCGUCAUUAUAACCCCUCAAGCUCAGCUUGGUGUUGGGGCCUGCUGCACUGGCAGCCCUUAAAAUCAGUGGCGGCGCCAUCUGGCUCUAAGCGUAGUAAUUCUUCUCGCUAUGGAGUCCUGGUGGAUGCUUGCCAUCAACCCCCAAUUUUUCUAUGGUUGACCUCGGAUCAGGUAGGGAUACCCGCUGAACUUAAGCAUAUCAAUAAGCGGAGGA